GAAAUUUGAAAUCUGGCAGUCUUCGAUUGUCCGAGUUGUAAUCUAUAGAGGCGUUUUCCGUGCCGGACCGUGUCCAAGUCUCCUGGAAAGGAGUAUCAAAGAGGGUGAUAAUCCCGUACUUAACACGACCACCGGUGCUCUGUGAUACGUCUUCUACGAGUCGAGUUGUUUGGGAAUGCAGCUCAAAAUGGGUGGUGAAUUCCAUCUAAAGCUAAAUAUUGGCGAGAGACCGAUAGCGAACAAGUACCGUGAGGGAAAGAUGAAAAGCACUUUGGAAAGAGAGUUAAACAGUACGUGAAAUUGUUGAAAGGGAAACGAUUGAAGUCAGUCGUGUUCUUUGGAUUCAGCCAGUUCUGCUGGUCUACUUCCUUGGAACGGGUCAACAUCAGUUUUGUCCGGUGGAUAAAGGUAGUAGGAAUGUGACUUCUCCGGAAGUGUUAUAGCCUAUUAUCACAUACACUGGGUGAGACUGAGGACUGCAGCUCGCCUUUAUGGCCGGCCUUCGGGCACGUUCGAGCUUAGGAUGUUGACAUAAUGGCUUUAAACGACCCGCUGAAA
RNAcentral lists this ribosomal RNA (558 nucleotides) under Trichosporon asahii. Its description in RNAcentral is "partial large subunit ribosomal RNA". It matches the Rfam family "Eukaryotic large subunit ribosomal RNA", at positions 110 to 659 of the family's 3401-position model. The record is from RNAcentral. Lineage: Eukaryota; Fungi; Basidiomycota; Tremellomycetes; Trichosporonales; Trichosporonaceae.